CCUACGGGUGGCAGCAGUGGGGAAUAUUGGACAAUGGGGGGAACCCUGAUCCAGCCAUGCCGCGUGUGUGAAGAAGGCCCUCGGGUUGUAAAGCACUUUCAGUGAGGAAGAACGCCUGGUGGUUAAUACCCAUCAGGAAAGACAUCACUCACAGAAGAAGCACCGGCUAACUCCGUGCCAGCAGCCGCGGUAAUACGGAGGGUGCGAGCGUUAAUCGGAAUUACUGGGCGUAAAGCGCGCGUAGGUGGCUUGAUAAGCCGGUUGUGAAAGCCCCGGGCUCAACCUGGGAACGGCAUCCGGAACUGUCAAGCUAGAGUGCAGGAGAGGAAGGUAGAAUUCCCGGUGUAGCGGUGAAAUGCGUAGAGAUCGGGAGGAAUACCAGUGGCGAAGGCGGCCUUCUGGACUGACACUGACACUGAGGUGUGAAAGCGUGGGUAGCAAACAGGAUUAGAUACCCUUGUAGUC
RNAcentral lists this ribosomal RNA (465 nucleotides) under Vreelandella stevensii. RNAcentral describes it as "partial 16S ribosomal RNA". It matches the Rfam family "Bacterial small subunit ribosomal RNA", at positions 338 to 795 of the family's 1533-position model. Lineage: Bacteria; Pseudomonadati; Pseudomonadota; Gammaproteobacteria; Oceanospirillales; Halomonadaceae. The record is from RNAcentral.